Molecule: ribosomal RNA, 497 nt
Filed under: uncultured bacterium
Lineage: Bacteria
Description: partial 16S ribosomal RNA
Rfam family: Bacterial small subunit ribosomal RNA
Source: RNAcentral
GAUGAACGCUGGCGGCGUGCCUAAUACAUGCAAGUCGAGCGAACAGACGAGGAGCUUGCUCCUCUGACGUUAGCGGCGGACGGGUGAGUAACACGUGGAUAACCUACCUAUAAGACUGGGAUAACUUCGGGAAACCUGAGCUAAUACCGGAUAAUAUAUUGAACGGCAUGGUUCAAUAGUGAAAGACGGUUUUGCUGUCACUUAUAGAUGGAUCCACGCCGCAUUAGCUAGUUGGUAAGGUAACGGCUUACCAAGGCAACGAUGCGUAGCCGACCUGAGAGGGUGAUCGGCCACACUGGAACUGAGACACGGUCCAGACUCCUACGGGAGGCAGCAGUAGGGAAUUUUCGACAAUGGGCGAAAGCUUGACGGAGCAACGCCGCGUGAGUGAUGAAGGUCUUCGGGUCGUAAAACUCUGUUAUUAGGGAAGAAAAAAUGUGGAAGUAACUAUGCACGUCUUGACGGUACCUAAUCAGAAAGCCACGGCUAACUACGUG